Molecule: ribosomal RNA, 373 nt
Filed under: uncultured organism
Description: partial 16S ribosomal RNA
Rfam family: Bacterial small subunit ribosomal RNA
Source: RNAcentral
GUAGGUGGCAAGCGUUGUCCGGAAUUAUUGGGCGUAAAGCGCGCGCAGGGUGGUUCUUUAAGUCUGAUGUGAAAGCCCCCGGGCUCAACCGGGGAGGGUCAUUGGAAACUGGGGAACUUGAGUGCAGGAGAGGAAAGUGGAAUUCCACGUGUAGCGGUGAAAUGCGUAGAUAUGUGGAGGAACACCAGUGGCGAAGGCGACUUUCUGGCCUGUAACUGACACUGAGGCGCGAAAGCGUGGGGAGCAAACGGGAUUAGAUACCCUGGUAGUCCACGCCGUAAACGAUGAGUGCUAAGUGUUGGGGGGUUCCCGCCCCUCAGUGCUGCAGCUAACGCAUUAAGCACUCCGCCUGGGGAGUACGGUCGCAAGACUG